This 468-nucleotide ribosomal RNA is filed under the name uncultured bacterium. Its description in RNAcentral is "partial 16S ribosomal RNA". It matches the Rfam family "Bacterial small subunit ribosomal RNA", at positions 28 to 507 of the family's 1533-position model. The record is from RNAcentral.
GACGAACGCUGGCGGCGUGCUUAACACAUGCAAGUCGAACGGAAAGACCCUGCUUUUGUGGGGUGCUCGAGUGGCGAACGGGUGAGUAACACGUGAGUAACCUGCCCUUGACUUUGGGAUAACUUCAGGAAACUGGGGCUAAUACCGGAUAGGAGCUCCUGCUGCAUGGUGGGGGUUGGAAAGUUUCGGCGGUUGGGGAUGGACUCGCGGCUUAUCAGCUUGUUGGUGGGGUAGUGGCUUACCAAGGCUUUGACGGGUAGCCGGCCUGAGAGGGUGACCGGCCACAUUGGGACUGAGAUACGACACAGACUCCUACGGGAGGCAGCAGUGGGGAAUAUUGCACAAUGGGCGGAAGCCUGAUGCAGCAACGCCGCGUGCGGGAUGACGGCCUUCGGGUUGUAAACCGCUUUCGCCUGUGACGAAGCGUGAGUGACGGUAAUGGGUAAAGAAGCACCGGCUAACUACGUG